GACGAACGCUGGCGGCGUGCCUAAUACAUGCAAGUCGAACGCUGAAGGAGGAGCUUGCUUCUCUGGAUGAGUUGCGAACGGGUGAGUAACGCGUAGGUAACCUGCCUGGUAGCGGGGGAUAACUAUUGGAAACGAUAGCUAAUACCGCAUAAGAGUAGAUGUUGCAUGACAUUUGCUUAAAAGGUGCAAUUGCAUCACUACCAGAUGGACCUGCGUUGUAUUAGCUAGUUGGUGGGGUAACGGCUCACCAAGGCGACGAUACAUAGCCGACCUGAGAGGGUGAUCGGCCACACUGGGACUGAGACACGGCCCAGACUCCUACGGGAGGCAGCAGUAGGGAAUCUUCGGCAAUGGACGGAAGUCUGACCGAGCAACGCCGCGUGAGUGAAGAAGGUUUUCGGAUCGUAAAGCUCUGUUGUAAGAGAAGAACGAAUGUGAGAGUGGAAAGUUCACACUGUGACGGUAGCUUACCAGAAAGGGACGGCUAACUACGUG
This 495-nucleotide ribosomal RNA is filed under the name uncultured bacterium. Its description in RNAcentral is "partial 16S ribosomal RNA". It matches the Rfam family "Bacterial small subunit ribosomal RNA", at positions 28 to 507 of the family's 1533-position model. The record is from RNAcentral.